Molecule: ribosomal RNA, 321 nt
Filed under: uncultured archaeon
Lineage: Archaea
Description: bacterial SSU rRNA
Rfam family: Archaeal small subunit ribosomal RNA
Source: RNAcentral
GGAGGUUACUGCUAUCGGUGUUCGCCUAACCCAUGCGAGUCAUAUGUUCUUCGUGAACAUGGCGUACUGCUCAGUAACACGUGAAUAACCUGCCCUUGGGACCGGCAUAACCCCGGGAAACUGGGGAUAAUUCCGGAUACCGCAUAUAUGCUGGAAUGCUUUAUGCGUGAAAUGGAUUCGUCUGCCCAAGGAUGGGUCUGCGGCCUAUCAGGUAGUAGUGGGUGUAAUGUACCUACUACCCUACAACGGGUACGGGUUGUGAAAGCAAGAGCCCGGAAAUGGAUUCUGAAACAUGAAUCCAGGCCCUACGGGGCGCACCAC